Molecule: non-coding RNA, 74 nt
Organism: Podarcis lilfordi (Lilford's wall lizard)
Lineage: Eukaryota; Metazoa; Chordata; Lepidosauria; Squamata; Lacertidae
Source: the annotation of a GenBank genome assembly
ACCUGGGAUAGCUCAGUUGGUAGAGCAUGAGACACUUAAUCUGAAGAUUGUGGGUUCAAGCCCCACAUUGGGCA